UUGAACGCUGGCGGUAUGCUUAACACAUGCAAGUCGAACGGAAACGAUACUAGCUUGCUAGUAGGCGUCGAGUGGCGGACGGGUGAGUAACGCGUAGGAAUCUGCCUGAUAGUGGGGGAUAGCCCGAAGAAAUUCGGAUUAAUACCGCAUAAUCUAUUCGUAGUAAAGUGGGGGACUUUCGAGCCUCACGCUAUCAGAUGAGCCUGCGUAAGAUUAGCUUGUUGGUAGGGUAAAAGCCUACCAAGGCAACGAUCUUUAGCUGGUCUGAGAGGAUGAUCAGCCACAUCGGGACUGAGACACGGCCCGAACUCCUACGGGAGGCAGCAGUGGGGAAUAUUGGACAAUGGGGGCAACCCUGAUCCAGCAAUACCGCGUGUGUGAAGAAGGCCUGAGGGUUGUAAAGCACUUUCAAUUGUGAAGAAAAGUUAACGGUUAAUAACCGUUAGCCUUGACGUUAACUUUAGAAGAAGCACCGGCUAACUCCGUGCCAGCAGCCGCGGUAAUACGGAGGGUGCAAGCGUUAAUCGGAAUUACUGGGCGUAAAGCGUGCGUAGGCGGUUUAUUAAGUCAGAUGUGAAAGCCCCGGGCUUAACCUGGGAACUGCAUUUGAAACUGGUCAACUAGAGUAUGGUAGAGGAAAGUGGAAUUUCUGGUGUAGCGGUGAAAUGCGUAGAUAUCAGAAGGAACAUCAAUGGCGAAGGCAGCUUUCUGGACCAAUACUGACGCUGAGGUACGAAAGCGUGGGUAGCAAACAGGAUUAGAUACCCUGGUAGUCCACGCCGUAAACGAUGAUAACUAGCCGUUGGGGGGAUUUACCCUUUAGUGGCGAAGCUAACGCGUUAAGUUAUCCGCCUGGGGAGUACGGCCGCAAGGUUAAAACUCAAAGGAAUUGACGGGGACCCGCACAAGCGGUGGAGCAUGUGGUUUAAUUCGAUGCAACGCGAAGAACCUUACCUGGUCUUGACAUCCUGCGAACUUUCUAGAAAUAGAUUGGUGCCUUCGGGAACGCAGUGACAGGUGCUGCAUGGCUGUCGUCAGCUCGUGUCGUGAGAUGUUGGGUUAAGUCCCGUAACGAGCGCAACCCCUAUCCUUAUUUGCCAGCACGUCAUGGUGGGAACUAUAAGGAGACUGCCGGUGAUAAACCGGAGGAAGGCGGGGACGACGUCAAGUCAUCAUGGCCCUUACGACCAGGGCUACACACGUGCUACAAUGGGAAGGACAAAGAGCCGCGAAGCCGCGAGGUGUAGCUAAUCUCAGAAAUCUUUUCGUAGUCCGGAUUGGAGUCUGCAACUCGACUCCAUGAAGUCGGAAUCGCUAGUAAUCGUAGAUCAGAAUGCUACGGUGAAUACGUUCCCGGGUCUUGUACACACCGCCCGUCAAGGG
This 1383-nucleotide ribosomal RNA is filed under the name uncultured bacterium. RNAcentral's name for it is "bacterial SSU rRNA". It matches the Rfam family "Bacterial small subunit ribosomal RNA", at positions 29 to 1403 of the family's 1533-position model. The record is from RNAcentral.